RNAcentral lists this ribosomal RNA (291 nucleotides) under uncultured bacterium. Its description in RNAcentral is "partial 16S ribosomal RNA". It matches the Rfam family "Bacterial small subunit ribosomal RNA", at positions 505 to 796 of the family's 1533-position model. The record is from RNAcentral.
GUGCCAGCAGCCGCGGUAAUACGUAGGGGGCAAGCGUUGUCCGGAAUUAUUGGGCGUAAAGCGCGCGCAGGCGGUGAUUUAAGUUUGGUGUUUAAUCCCGGGGCUCAACCCCGGGUCGCACUGAAAACUGGGUCACUUGAGUGCGGGAGAGGAAAGUGGAAUUCCACGUGUAGCGGUGAAAUGCGUAGAGAUGUGGAGGAACACCAGUGGCGAAGGCGACUUUCUGGACCGUAACUGACGCUGAGGCGCGAAAGCGUGGGGAGCAAACAGGAUUAGAUACCCUGGUAGUCC